RNAcentral lists this ribosomal RNA (610 nucleotides) under Marinobacter sp. RNAcentral describes it as "bacterial SSU rRNA". It matches the Rfam family "Bacterial small subunit ribosomal RNA", at positions 43 to 644 of the family's 1533-position model. Lineage: Bacteria; Pseudomonadati; Pseudomonadota; Gammaproteobacteria; Pseudomonadales; Marinobacteraceae. The record is from RNAcentral.
CGCGCAGCUUACCAUGCAGUCGAGCGGUAACAGGGGGUGCUUGCACCCCGCUGACGAGCGGCGGACGGGUGAGUAAUGCAUAGGAAUCUGCCCAGUAGUGGGGGAUAGCCCGGGGAAACCCGGAUUAAUACCGCAUACGCCCUUUGGGGGAAAGCAGGGGAUCUUCGGACCUUGCGCUAUUGGAUGAGCCUAUGUCGGAUUAGCUAGUUGGUGGGGUAAAGGCCUACCAAGGCGACGAUCCGUAGCUGGUCUGAGAGGAUGAUCAGCCACAUCGGGACUGAGACACGGCCCGAACUCCUACGGGAGGCAGCAGUGGGGAAUAUUGGACAAUGGGGGCAACCCUGAUCCAGCCAUGCCGCGUGUGUGAAGAAGGCUUUCGGGUUGUAAAGCACUUUCAGUGAGGAGGAAAACCUUCUGGUUAAUACCCAUGAGGCUUGACGUUACUCACAGAAGAAGCACCGGCUAACUCCGUGCCAGCAGCCGCGGUAAUACGGAGGGUGCAAGCGUUAAUCGGAAUUACUGGGCGUAAAGCGCGCGUAGGUGGUUUGAUAAGCGAGAUGUGAAAGCCCCGGGCUUAACCUGGGAACGGCAUUUCGAACUGUCAGGCUAG